RNAcentral lists this ribosomal RNA (442 nucleotides) under uncultured bacterium. Its description in RNAcentral is "partial 16S ribosomal RNA". It matches the Rfam family "Bacterial small subunit ribosomal RNA", at positions 338 to 795 of the family's 1533-position model. The record is from RNAcentral.
CCUACGGGGUGCAGCAGUGGGGAAUAUUGGGCAAUGGGCGCAAGCCUGACCCAGCAACGCCGCGUGAAGGAAGAAGGCUUUCGGGUUGUAAACUUCUUUUAAGAGGGAAGAGCAGAAGACGGUACCUCUUGAAUAAGCCACGGCUAACUACGUGCCAGCAGCCGCGGUAAUACGUAGGUGGCAAGCGUUGUCCGGAUUUACUGGGUGUAAAGGGCGUGUAGCCGGGCUGACAAGUCAGAUGUGAAAUUCCGGGGCUCAACCGCGGACCUGCAUUUGAAACUGUUGGUCUUGAGUAUCGGUGAGGCAGGCGGAAUUCCUGGUGUAGCGGUGAAAUGCGUAGAUAUUAGGAAGAACACCAGUGGCGAAGGCAGCCUGCUGGACGGCAACUGACGGUGAGGCGCGAAAGCGUGGGGAGCAAACAGGAUUAGAUACCCUAGUAGUC